UCCAAUGUGGUGUAGUGGCUAACAUUGCUGUCUUUCAUGUGGGAAUACCUGCGUUUGCACAGCAGCCCGGGGUUCGAUUCCCCGCAUUGGAA
Molecule: non-coding RNA, 92 nt
Organism: Rhodocollybia butyracea
Lineage: Eukaryota; Fungi; Basidiomycota; Agaricomycetes; Agaricales; Omphalotaceae
Source: the annotation of a GenBank genome assembly